GUUUUUGGCUGGGGCUGGUGUUGCGUGACCGGAGACGCGAAAGAACAGCAGCUUUGCCGUGGGUAUAAGUUCACUCCUGUAAUUAUUAAAGAGAUAACAGUCUUGCUGUAUUGCCCAGACUGAUCUCAAACUACUGACCUCAAGCAAUCCUCCUGCCUCAACCUCCCAAGUCACUGGAAUUACAGUUGGAAUCGUUUUACAAGUCUCAAGAUGCCUCAAAUUGCUGACCUUUUAGAGACAGAUGACAGCAUAGAAGCAAGUGCAAUAGUGAUACAACCCCCUGAGAAUGCUAUAGCACCUGUUUCUGAUGAGGACUCAGGAGAUGAAGAAGUGAGAACAAUAAAUAAUCCGCCAUGCUCUUUGCUGCACGCACCUGCAUAUCUUAUUCAAGAAGGCUGUGAUGCUGAGUCUGACUCAGAUGAUCCUCAUACGCACCUGGAGAUGACGCUCUUAAUGAUGAAGUUCUAUCUGUGUCUACUGUGCAGCAACCUCCUCCAUCAAAGAAAAAGAAAGUGACAGAAAUUGUUCUCAGAUGGAAAAAAGCUGACUUAACUGCACAGCUCACAGCAGGUAGAGUUACAGAACCACCAAAUGACUUCUUCACCAAAAUGAGAACUCCCACAAAAAUUCAUGAACUAUUUCUUGAUGAUGAGGUGGUUGAACUCAUUGUCAUGUACUCCAAUUUAUAUGCUGGAGGUAAGGGUGUAAAUCUUGGCUUGUCUGGCUCUGAACUCAAAUGUUUUCUGGGAAUUAUUUUUCUGAGUGGUUACAUCUCAGUUCCUAGAAUGUGUAUAUGUUCUGGGAACAAAGAACCGAUGUGCAUAGUGGACUCAUUAGUGCUGCCAUGAGACGUGACCACUUUGAAAUUAUAUUUUCUAAUUUGCAUGUUGCUGACAAUGCAAAUUUGGAUCCAAUAGACAAGUUUUCCAAGUUGUGACCUCUUUUAAACAUACUCAAUGAGAGAUUUAUGAAAUUUGUUCCAAAUGAAACAUUUCAGCUUUGAUGAAUGUAUGGUUCCUUAUUUUGGUCGUUAUGGGUGUACACAAUUUAUCAGAGGAAAGCCCAUUCAUUUUGGCUAUAGGUUUUGGAGUGGUGCAGCAUGUCUGGGAUAAAUUAGCUGGUUUCAGCCGUGUCAGGGUAAAAUCCCAAGUAGUAAACAUGAGGAAUGUGGUGUCAUUGCAUCACUUGUCCUUCAGUUUAGUGAGGCACUUUCAAAGGCACAUCCUGGACGACACCAUUUUGUAUUCGUUAACUUUUUCAUCAGUAUUGCACUUCCUGAUAAGCUCAGUUCAAUGGGACAUCAGGCAACAGGUAUAGCAAGAAAGGAUCGCAUUGACAAAGCUCCACUGGAAUCAGAUGUAUCUCUGAAGAAAAAGGAACAAGGCACAAUUAUCGAGUUGAUGGCAAAGGCAAUAUUGUCUGCAGAUGGAAUGGUAACAGUGUUGUCACUGUUGCCUCAUCUGGUGCUGGUAUUGAUGCCCUGUGCCUUGUUGACCAUUAUUCCCAGAAACUGAAAAAGAAGAUCCAAGUUCAACAGUCAAACAUGAUCAAAGUGUCUAACUGUUUCAUGGGAGGUGUAGACAGAGCUGAUGACAACAUUGAUAAGUAUCAAGCAUCAAUCCGUGCAAAGAAAUGAUAUUCAAGUCCUCUUUUGUUCUGUUUCAAAUUGAUCUUACAAAAUGCUUGGCAACUGCAUAAAACAUAUGAUGAGAAGCCAAUGUAUUUUCUGGAGUUUCGUCAACGUGUGGUAUGCCAUUAUUUGGAGACCCAUGGUCUUCUUCCAGACCCUGGCUGGAGAGGAAGACCUUCUCAGAAGCGUAACAUUGACUCACAUUUUGAUGGCAUGAAUCAUGUGAUAGUCAAACAGGGAAAGCAAACUCGAUGUGCAGAAUGUCCUAAGAACACCACUUUCUGAUGUGAAAAGUGUGAUGUUGCCUUACAUGUGAAGUGUUCUGUUGAAUAUCACACUGAAUAGUAGGUGUCACCACCUCCUGAGAUAAGAAACAUGAUUUUAUACAUUAUGUACACUUUAGCAAGUGUUUUGCCUAGUGUUCCCUUUUUGGAAUAUCACGUAACAAUGGAGUAUAAUAAAACUUUUUUCUCCAAAUUCUUGUUCUUUGAAUUUUUAUAGGUAACAUAUAUGAAUUUCAUGCAAAAAAUUAAAAAAUUUCAAUCUCAAGCAUAAAUAGGGAACAAAGGGACAUCUAAGAAUUUAAAGAACAUUGUCCCUCAGCACCCUUAGAAAAGGCUCAAGGACUUUAUCUUGAAGACAUUUGUGGGUGCAGCUUCUGUCUAGUUGUGUGGAUUAUAAGUUGAUUCACAUGACAUCCACACAGUUUUUUAAUUUUAAAUAGACUGUUUUUUAAGAGCAGUUUAGGUCUACAGCAAAAUUGAAAGUAGAGUUCCUAUGGAUCCUGUCCACCUUUCCCUACAAAGCCAGCCCAGUGUCAGCAUCCCUCACUACAGUGGUACCUACAGUGGUACCUUUUUUUAUUUUUUUAUUUUUUACAACCAGUGAACCUACACUGAUACAUCAUUAUCACCCUAAGUCUAUAGAUUACAUUAGGGUUAUGUUUGGUUUUGUAUAUUGGUAUGCAUUUUGACAAAUGUGUAAUGAUUCCAACAUUGUAGUAUCAUAUUUCACUGCCCUAAAAAUCCUCCGUGCUUUACCUGUUCAUUUUUCCCUUCCCCUAUUCCUUAACCACUAUGAAUCUUUCUACUGUCCCCAUAGUUUUUCAUUUUCCAGAUGUCAUAUAGUUGGAGUCAUGAAUUUUUAGGUUGGCUUUCACUUAGUGAUGUGCCUUUAAGUUUCCUUCAUGUCUUUUCAUUGCUUAAUAGCUCAUUCCUUUUUAAGUGCUGAAUAGAAUUUCGUUGUCUGGAUGUACUAGAGUUUAUCUGUUGCCCCCUGAAGGAUAUCUUGGUUGUUUCCAAGGUUUGGCAGUUAUAAACAAAGCUGCUAUAAACAUCUACAUGCAGGUUUUUGUGUGGACAUGUUUUCAACUCAUUUGGGUAAAUAUCAAGGAGUGUGAUUGCUGGGUCAUAUAAGAGUGUGUUUCAUUGUAGAAGAAACUACCAAACUGGGUCAUAUAAGAGUGUGUUUCAAACUACCAAACUGUCUUCCACAGUGGCUAUACCAUUUUUCAUCCUCACUAUCAGUGAAUGAGAGUUCUGUUUUUCCAAACCUUGGCCAUCAGUUGGUUGACAGUGUUUUGGAUUUUCACCAUUCUAAUAGGUGUGUAGUGAUGUCUCAUUACUGUUUUAAUUUGCAAUUCCCUAAUGACGUGACAUGGAACAUAAUUUUGUAUGCUAAUUUGCCACCUGUGUAGUCUUCUAUAGUGAGGUGUGUAUUUAGGUCUUUUGCCUGCCUUUAAAUUAGGGAGUUCAUUUUCUUAUUGUUUAGUUUUAAGAAUUCUUUGUACACUUCAGGUAAUGGUGCUUUAUCAGAUGUGUCUUUUAAAAGUAUUUUCUCCCAGUCUGUGGCUUGUCUUCUCACUCUCUCUCUUAAAAGGAUUGUAUCAUCUUGGACUAAGAAGCACAAACAGUGACACAAAAAGAACCCCUUUGACCCUAAGCUUCUGCAGACAAGAAGUAUGCUCACAACAUGGCUACAUUUAGUGAAAAAGAAGAGUGAUUCAGAAGAUGGAACCAACAGCCUGGAGUGGAGAGUCAUGAGCCUACAGUGAAUCAUUCCCAAGGAGUACAACUGAGCCCUAAUCAAGGAACUAGCACCAGAUGUCCAGUCUUUGUCCUGGGCUGGGUUUGAACCCACCUCCUUCGGUAUAUUGGGCUGGCACCCCACUCCUUUGAGCCACAGACGCCACCCUUAAAUUAAGUUUUGGUAAUGAAGUUAUGCUGGCUUCACGAAAUGAAUUGGGAAACAUUUCAUCUUUUUAUGUGAGCUAUUCAUAAUAGCCAAGAUACGGAAUCAACCUUAAAGGUUCAUCAGCAGAUGAAUGGGUAAAGAUGAAUGGAUAAAGAAAUUGUGGUACAUACACAAUGGGAAAGCUGAAGCUAGAAAGGAAGAAUGAAAUCAUGCUAUUUCCAACAUCAUGGAUGGAACUGGAGAACAUUGUGUUGAAUGAAAUA
Long non-coding RNA from Nycticebus coucang (slow loris), 4086 nucleotides. RefSeq lists it as uncharacterized. Lineage: Eukaryota; Metazoa; Chordata; Mammalia; Primates; Lorisidae. The record is from RefSeq and is a predicted model, not a curated record. The transcript is spliced from 5 exons.